AUGGGGAACAGCAUUGGGGCGAAGCGGAAGGGGGCCAAGGUGAUGCAGCUGGACGGGACGUCCUUCCGGGUGAAGCCGCCGGCGGCGGCGGCCGACGUGCUGCGCGACCACCCGGGCUUCCAGCUGCUGGAGGCGGAGGAGGUCAAGCUGCUGGGCGCGCGGGCGCGGCCCCUGGCGCCCGACGCGCCGCUGCGCCGGGGCCGGCUCUACUUCCUCGUCGCGCUCCCGCGCCGCCCCGCCGCGGGGCCGCCGCGCAGGGCAUGGUCGGGCAACCUCCGCGUCGGCGCGCGCGAGCGGCUCGAGUCGCUCAUGCUCGCCCGCCGCUCCACCUCCGACCUCUCCUCCUUCCAGGGCGUCGCCUCCGCCUCCGCCCCCGCCUCCCCGCUCUUCGCGGGAGCGGGAGGCGGCGCAGGCACCCCCGUGCGGCUCAGGAUGCGGCUCCCCAAGGCGCAGGUGGAGAAGCUGAUGGGGGAGAGCCGGGACGCGGCGGAGGCGGCGGCCAAGAUCAUGGAGCUGUGCGCCGCGGUGGGCGACGGCGGCGGCUGCGGCGCCAAGGUGACGCCCGAGCGGCCGCCCGGGAUCCUGCGCAGCCCGCGGUUCGCGGCCACGCCCGAGUGGGGCUCCGGCUUCAUGCUCCCCAAGCCGGCGCCCGGCGCGCCGCCCAAGACGCCGCAGCGGUGGGCCUCGCUGCCCCGCGCCAAGGAGGAGAAGCGUGCGAGGUUCGUGGCGUUGCCGGACGAGCUGAUCGCAUGA
RNAcentral lists this ribosomal RNA (753 nucleotides) under Triticum aestivum (bread wheat). RNAcentral's name for it is "partial small subunit ribosomal RNA". Lineage: Eukaryota; Viridiplantae; Streptophyta; Magnoliopsida; Poales; Poaceae. The record is from RNAcentral.